GACGAAGGAUGCAAGCGUUAUCCGAAUUCAUUGGGUUUAAAGGGAGCGUAGGCGGCCUUGUAAGUCAGUGGUGAAAUCUCGCGGCUUAACUGCGAAACUGCCAUUGAUACUGCUUGGCUAGAGUAUAGAUGCUGUGGGCGGAAUAUGACAUGUAGUGGUGAAAUACAUAGAGAUGUCAUAGAACACCGAUUGCGAAGGCAGCUCACAAAACUAUAACUGACGCUGAGGCUCGAAAGUGUGGGGAUCAAACAGG
This 253-nucleotide ribosomal RNA is filed under the name uncultured bacterium. RNAcentral describes it as "partial 16S ribosomal RNA". It matches the Rfam family "Bacterial small subunit ribosomal RNA", at positions 524 to 776 of the family's 1533-position model. The record is from RNAcentral.